This 253-nucleotide ribosomal RNA is filed under the name uncultured bacterium. Its description in RNAcentral is "partial 16S ribosomal RNA". It matches the Rfam family "Bacterial small subunit ribosomal RNA", at positions 524 to 776 of the family's 1533-position model. The record is from RNAcentral.
AACGUAGGAGACAAACGUUAUCCGGAGUUACUGGGCGUAAAGGGCGUGUAGGUGGUUUCGUAAGUCUGGCGUGAAAUUUUUCGGCUUAACCGGGAAAGGUCGUCGGAUACUGCAGAACUAGAGGACGGUAGAGGCGUGUGGAAUUCCGGGUGUAGUGGUGAAAUGCGUAGAGAUCCGGAGGAACACCAGUGGCGAAGGCGGCUCACUGGCCCGAUACUGACGCUGAGGCACGAAAGCGUGGGGAGCAAACAGG